GUGCCAGCAGCCGCGGUAAAACGUAGGAGGCGAGCGUUAUCCGGAUUUACUGGGCGUAAAGCGCACGCAGGUGGCUGUGCAGGUCGGACAUGAAAGCUCCUGGCUUAACUGGGAGAGGUGGUUCGAAACCGCACGGCUUGAGGUUGGGAGAGGGACGUGGAAUUCCCGGUGUAGUGGUGGAAUGCGUAGAUAUCGGGAGGAACACCAGUGGCGCAAGCGGCGUCCUGGCCCACACCUGACGCUGAGGUGCGAAAGCGUGGGUAGCAAACAGGAUUAGAUACCCUCGUAGUCC
This 292-nucleotide ribosomal RNA is filed under the name uncultured bacterium. Its description in RNAcentral is "partial 16S ribosomal RNA". It matches the Rfam family "Bacterial small subunit ribosomal RNA", at positions 505 to 796 of the family's 1533-position model. The record is from RNAcentral.